This 799-nucleotide ribosomal RNA is filed under the name uncultured bacterium. RNAcentral describes it as "bacterial SSU rRNA". It matches the Rfam family "Bacterial small subunit ribosomal RNA", at positions 25 to 812 of the family's 1533-position model. The record is from RNAcentral.
CAGGAUGAACGCUAGCGACAGGCUUAACACAUGCAAGUCGAGGGGCAGCGGGAGGAGUAGCAAUACUCCCGCCGGCGACCGGCGCACGGGUGAGUAACACGUAUGAAACCUGCCCGUAGCAGGGGGAUAAGCGGAAGAAAUUCCGUCUAAUACCGCGUAACAACCCUUGGAGGCAUCUCCUCGGGUUUAAAGGAAGCGAUUCCGGCUACGGAUGGUCAUGCGUCGCAUUAGCUUGUUGGCGGGGUAACGGCCCACCAAGGCGACGAUGCGUAGGGGUUCUGAGAGGAAGGUCCCCCACACUGGUACUGAGACACGGACCAGACUCCUACGGGAGGCAGCAGUGAGGAAUAUUGGUCAAUGGCCGCAGGGCUGAACCAGCCAAGUCGCGUGAGGGAUGACGGUCCUGUGGAUUGUAAACCUCUUUUGUCAGGGAGCAAAGGGCGUCACGUGUGGCGCUUUGCGAGUACCUGAAGAAAAAGCAUCGGCUAACUCCGUGCCAGCAGCCGCGGUAAUACGGAGGAUGCGAGCGUUAUCCGGAUUUAUUGGGUUUAAAGGGUGCGCAGGCGGAAUGUCAAGUCAGCGGUAAAAUUUCGGGGCUCAACCCCGUCGUGCCGUUGAAACUGGCGUUCUUGAGUGAGCGAGAAGUAUGCGGAAUGCGUGGUGUAGCGGUGAAAUGCAUAGAUAUCACGCAGAACUCCGAUUGCGAAGGCAGUAUACCGGCGCUCAACUGACGCUCAUGCACGAAAGCGUGGUAUCGAACAGGAUUAGAUACCCUGGUAGUCCACGCAGUAAACGAUGA